Long non-coding RNA from Aedes aegypti (yellow fever mosquito), 1738 nucleotides. RefSeq lists it as uncharacterized. The record is from RefSeq and is a predicted model, not a curated record. The transcript is spliced from 2 exons. Lineage: Eukaryota; Metazoa; Arthropoda; Insecta; Diptera; Culicidae.
CCUACCAAUGACACAAAUUUCGUCUGUUGUUUCUUUCCGUUAUCAGCAUAAAAAAAUGCAUAUCGCAUACCCUUACGCCGAGUGCUAAAAUGUCCGAUUUUAUUGCGACGAUGACGACCGGAGUUUUACUACUUCUGAGGGCUCCCAUCUAUUUUACGGAGGGCAUCGAAUUACAUAAAUGCCCCCACAACCUGACGACGACACGACACACGGGGCCAGGCUCGGGACGAUUUCAUACGUUUUAUCCUUAUUUGACGGUUCACAUAAACGAUUAUUGCCCAUUCAAAGCGGGAGUCCACCGAGUAGGAAUUCCGAUCGGGUCGUAAAGAAGAGUGCAGUGCAGGCAGGGGAGUCAGGUUUUCGAUCGACGGACCGCGCGCGGGGAUGGCGUUUGACUCUAAAUAGACAAAAUCUAUUACGCUUUGAAGAUUGGUUUCGCGUCGUUGAGGUUCACAAAUACCUGCCAAGCCCCAAACGGAGAAACUCCUCGUGCUCGUGCGGACAGUUGCGGAAUUUAAAGCCAAACAAAGGCGCCUCCUUACCACCCGUCUCCGCUGUCGUUGAGCUCACUUUCCCGCACCUUGCGAUUUCUUCGGUUAACUUGACGAAUAGGUGGAUGGCUGAUGGGUGAUGUAAAGUGAUAUCCAUUAAACAUGGUCAUCGCGUACCUUGCCUCUCUUCAGUCCGUCAGUGUGGAGAGACAUUAGACAUUCUUCGAUCGUUACUUGAAUAAAUCAAUCAAAUAGUUUAAGCUGUCCUCCGGGGGUUGCAUUCAUCAGUCAUAGACGAUGACGAUGGCAAGAAGAGGCAGCCAAGUGCAUACAAGGAACAAACCGAAGUCGUCGUCGCAGAAGGCAGAAUGACAUCACAUCACGUGUAUUGCCCAUGUCGAGAUGGCAGUUGAUUGCCUAAUCGUUCGAUCUCCGAUCGAUGCAAAACCUGUUUCUGUUUAGAGAUAUCGGCAGCAGUUUCCCAGAUUGUCAGAGUUGCGAAGUCAAUCGCUAAAUAUUUGAUUGCAUUGACAAUAAACGAUUCUGUUGAAUGCUUCUCGCAUAAAUCAGUCCCAUUCAGGACCCUUUUAAGCUGAAACGAACGUUCUUUGUGCUCUUCGUUCCUCCCGGAAAAUUACCACGUAAAUCAACCAAAGGCUCUUUAGGAAAGAAACGAAAAAAUGGAAAUUUCCCAUCUUCAUCGUCAUUAGUCGCUUCGUCCUGCGAUCGUCCUUCGGCGUAGCAGUAUCAUGGGAAGCAGCUGGCCCUGCGUGUGGAACCGGAUUCCUCCGAGGAACAAAAGCUGCUGACUUACUUGUGGUGGUUGUUAAGGAAGCGAUCUGUUAUUUGGCCCUAGCCGAAGAAGGAAUAAACUGCAGUCCAACCUGGGUUAAGUAUCGUAAAUUAUAUGAUUUACGUGAUGGCACUUGAAUUACAACAAACACGACUAAGUGCUCAGAGCAACAAUGCGAAAAAAUGGUGAGUCGCCAUCAUGAGUGACCCUACAACCCAGUGGAAAUCACUAACUUGCGCUAGGCCCGAAAGUCUACAGCAGUGCUUCCUAAAUUUGUUCGGACUAUCGCCCCCUUGAAAUCAAAAAAAUAAAUAAAAUCACUCUCUGGUAUAAACAUCACAUUAUAGUAAAGAAAUUAUGCUGAAAUUGUUCCACACAUUUUACUUUAAGUGAAACAAUAUUGUUAAAAUUGUCUGUUACAACAAUUUUUUUCGAAAUAUAUUUGAAAACUGAA